CAGUGGUAGACCAUAAGCUUGCUAGUAAAGAAUGCAAACAGAUAUUGUAUGAAGCAUAUGAGUUAAACAAAAGGCUCAAGGGAAACUUGAGUGAAGAAGAUCUGAAGAAUCUGAGGAGAAAACAUGAGGAAGACAAGAGGCCGCUACCCAAAAGGCUAAAACAGACCACCAUCGACUAAUACUCAUAUUCCACAACAAUCAUUAUCCAGUUUUUACUUUCUAAAUUCUAGCAUUGAGAUUUCCAGCUGUCUUUAAAUAUUUAUUUUUGCAUUGCUGGAAGCUGUAUGAUGUAGUUUGCAUGAAACUUAUAAGUAUUUUGUACCUAUGUAUUCUUGAAGUAGAAAAGAUCAUAUAGUAUUUAUUCCAUAUAGUGAUAUCUAUUUACUCUUUGCGGGAAAGAAAAUGCUUUUGCAUAAGUCAUUUAUAUUGCUUAUUUUCUCAGUUUCUAUUAUUGAGCCAUCUACAGACCAGCUUUUGGCAUAAUAUCUUCGAAGCUUAUAUAUACAAACUAUACAAGAUCAUCACAUUAUUCAAUUUGCAUGAAAUUGUGAAACGAAAUUUGAAAUGUAGUUAUUAUAAAUAUUGUGAUGAAAAACAUCUUAGAUGUUAAAUGAAGCGUUACGUUAAUUUUCUUGUCUUCAUCCGAGAUUUUUCAAACUUAUAUUGUUACUUUUAUUUGGAUGGAGUAAUAUUUUAUUUUUCUUAGAGAAUUUAGGUAUUGGUUGUUAGUUCAAAAGUACCAUUUCUCAGCUCAAAAGCAGUGUGCAGGUGACUGCACAUUUAAAGAAAAGUUGAUUGGGAAUUUAUAAAUGUAAUUGAAGAUUAAUGAAUCGUAAUUAAAUGUUAGUGUUAGGAUUGUGAUUGUGACUAAUAAAUCUUAUUUGAUGAUUAUGCUUGAAUGUGAUAUGACGUGUCACGUAUACUAGCAUGUUUUGAUUUAUUUAUUUUGUGUUUCGUAGUCAAACGACUAAAAACGUUUGAUCCGAGGUUAAUGUAAGGGCAACACACGUGCGACAGUCUCCACGCGUGUGAGUCAACCGCGCGAUUUGCAAAUUGAGCCACCCUACUCCUCACUUUGCCCUGCCCAACGCCUCCUCUCUCACUCUUCUUCUUCUCCUUCUCCUUCUCCUGCUCCUCUUGCAUUCUCCCUUUCUAGAGAGAGAAACAGGCUGUCCUCGAUCAAAGGGGGAGACCUUAGAUCACAUCCCACAACACAAUCGGAUCCGAAUCAUGUUCAGAAGGCUUGCUGUCCGGCUCCGCACUCUCGCCCCGCACCGAUCCGCUUCCAAGACCGCCCAAUUCUCCGUCGGAUCUUCCAAACCCUCGGAGAAUGUUGUCCGUUCGCUCCCCGUUUUUUCUCGCCACUUCUCUUCUGAAUCCGGUGUGCUUCUAAACCCUAAUUUUUGACUUUUCAGGAUCGUUUCCAUGUUAUUUGAAGUGUUUGCGCGUUUUCUUUUUGGCUGUUUGUGGGUUUUAAGGGAAUGUGUUUUUUCUGUUGGAUAGGGAAUGUGCCUAAAAAGGUGGAGGAUAUAGUGCCGAUUGCUACUGGUCAUGAGCGCGAAGAGCUUGAGGCCGAGCUUGAAGUGCGUCGUUUUUACCGUUUUUGAGUGUUGCUUAUGUUCCUCUUAUUGUCGGAUUGACAUUUUUGACUGCUGUUGCUUAUUUGGUUUAGGGAAGGGACAUUCUGGAAAUUAACCAUCCGUCUGGUCCAUUUGGAACAAAGGUCAGUGCUAAAUCCUUUUGUUAUAGGUACAAUUCUGUCGAUGUUUUAUGUGCUUUGAGAUCGUUUUAGACUCUUAAUAGUCCAUAGGUAAUGAGAUGUUUUGUUGUAUUUUAGUGCUCGUUUGGUUCAAGUAGAGGAAUGGAAAGGGAAUAAAAUCAAAUAAAGGAGUGGAAUGGUAACAAUAACCAUUACUUUUAUUGAGUGUUUGGUUAAACAAUGGAAAUGAAUCAUUAGUAAGGAAUUCCCUUUCUUUUGUUUCCCCUCUAUUUUGAGGGGUAACAGAUUGAGUGAUUGGGUUACCCUCAAGUAAGGGUAAUGGCUAACUCAUUAUUCAAACCAAACAACAAGUAAUGGAUUUAUUUAAUUGAACCCCUUUCCAACCUCUAAAAACACCCAACCAAACGUGGUCUUAAUUUGUAGAAAAAGAAUAAUCUAAAGUGUGACAUGUUAGAUCAUUUUUGGAAUAAAUGGGAAGGGAUCUCUUAUUAUCUCGGACAAAAUGCUGACUUGUAUAGGACACCAGUGUUGUAAGAUUAAAUUUCGAAAAUAGGGUCAUAUCCUAGGAGCCACUAUAAUAAUGGCUAUGCUUAUAGCUAUUGGGUCUAUAUAAAUUAUUGUUUAACUAGGAGCCUUAUUUGUAAAGGUUUUGUGCCUAAGCAGGAAAAAAUGCGAAGGACCAUCAUGAGGCGCUCUGUGGCUUUUUUACAUUAAUGAAUAUCUCAUAGAAUACUCUAGUAAAUGAUCAUGAAAACUCUGUGUGCGUGUUUGUGUGUAUGUGAAGAGAGGAUUUAUCACUCUGUAGUGCAUUUAUAGUGCCUUCAUAUUUUUCUAUGUAUUGUGGCAUAUUUGCUGCUUUUUAUUAAACUAGUAUUUUUCCAUGCAAGUGACUGUUUGACAUAUUUAGCUGAUGUAUAGAAGAUGUUUCUAGACCUUGUCUUAUGGUUGUUAAUAGAUACAUGUUUCCUAAUUGAGGUGCCGAUCAUACCAGAAUAGAUGAGCAAUGAAUUAUGGUACUUAAAUAUUAACUUGAAGGUUCCAUAUCAGGAUGGUAAAAACAAAUAUGUUUCCAUCCCCUCAAAUUUGCCACUAGUUAUGCUGGUUCGAUAGACUUAACCGUUUCACGCAAUAUUGAUCCCUACUUUUGGCACGGCUACAUUUACUCCCAUAUUCUUGUUUGUUUUUUAUUAAAGAGGCAAAAAACGUACUGCCUAUACCAAUCCUUUGUUUUUUAGUUGGCUAAGUCUACCUUAGCAAAGAGCAGUAAUCCAAAUAGGCACGUAAAAACAUGGAGCUGCCUUAUUAAUUAUUAUUGUUGGGACCGUAACAGUUUUGGGGAUAAUUCUUAACUUAGUUGGAAUCUUGCUCAACCCAUUGAAAUAUCAUUAUAUAUGUAUUGGUGUGAUCUAUAUAUAUGUUCAUAAAAUUCUGUUCUUUAUAUGUAUUCGCAUGAUGUAUAUCUAUGAUCAUAAUAAUGUGUACUUCAUAUUUUGGUUAAAAUCCACUAUCCAUUUAGUUCGCGGGUAUGGAUAUGGAUAGCCACUAUCCGUGCCCGUCGUACCCGAUUGCCAUCUCUACAUGAGGGUCAGGAUUUGGGUACGGGUCAAGCUGGGUGUACGGUAUACCUGGGUGUAUAGGAGAUUUUGUGUUUUUAGAGAGUACGAAUUGUAUUUUUAUAUAUUAAAGUCAUAAUAAUAAUAAUAAUAAUAAUAAUUGAUUUAUUAACUUGAUCCAAGUCUCAUUAUUGUUUUACAAAUGAAAAGUAUAAUUAUAAAAUACUGUUACGGACUGGUUAGAUCAAAUACAGUCACUCUCACUGUUUCACAGCCAUCAAUUAGAGAGAGAGAGAGAGAGUUGGAAUGAUGGGGCGAACUCUCAACAGCGCGAUUCGUUGUGUACAGACGGCGGCCGAGUGCCCUCACCUCACCAAACUCUCUCUUCACGCUCCUAAAUCAGUAAGGUAUUUUUUUUUCUGUUUAUUAUUUUAUAUUUCCGGCUAGUUCUUGUCUUUACACAUUUAAUCACUUAAGUGUCUUGUUAAUUUGUCGUUGAUUGCCUGAUUUUGCUUUGUUUUGUUAUUCAUUUAUUUAUUUUGAAACUUUAUUGUGUGUAAAUGGAUGUGUGAUGAGGAAGUUGAAUCAUUUUACAGUAGUAGAAUUGUUUCAUCAUUUUAGCAUAAUUGAAGUAGCUAUAGGUGUUACCUCAAUGACUUUGAGCCAAAUCGAAGGAGCAAGAAGCACAGAUUUUGGACAUUCUUGAAACUCAUCCAUGUUCUCGUACUCGAUCUAUGUUGAAAAGUGUUCUAUACUCUAUAGGGUGGUUUGUUAACUAAGGAAAUGAAUCCCUACUUUUUACUUGUGAUACGAGUUACAUUUCUCGUGGUUGAAGUUGCCAAUACUUUUUAUCGUUCGCGGUUGUUUUGUUGAAGAAAAGCAUGAUUCAUGAUUCCUAUUCAUGGUGCUAAUAAUGCAUAGCAGCACUAGCUAGAAGUAAUGAGGAUGUUAGGAGAUAGAUACAUCAAUUAUCAGCUUGAGAAGCCGUGUUCUGAGAUUUAUCUUGCUUGCAGAUUCUGCAGCUUGUGUGGAUUCAUAAAGCAUAUGCUACUUUUUUUGUAAUAUUGUAAGAAAUUCUGGUGUACAAAUCAUAUGAUAUUAUGAACAUCUCAAAUACUGAUAAUUUUUUGUAGUAUUCAUAUACUAUCAGUUUCAUUAAAUGAAAUCAUAAGUGAAGAAUAGAGCUCAAAAUUGAAUUCAAGUCAUAGUUCUUGUGUAGACUAUAAUGGCUUCAAUUUUUACUGUGUCAUGUAAAUAUUCUUUAUCAUAUUUUUGCUUUGUUGUAUGAACAUUCUCCCAGGUGGAGGUGGAAUUUGAUAACGGCAGUGCAUAUAAUCUGUCAGCUGAAUACUUGCGAGUAUAUAGCCCUGCAGUUGACAGUAAGAUCAGAUCAGUUGGAGGAGAAAAGGUAACUAAAAUUCAUACAGCAUUCUUCUCAGCAUCCAUUAUAGCAAAUGAUACAACAAUACGAAGACUCAUAUGAUGGUUAAAUGACUUGGGAGUGGAAGGGUCAAAAAUUUGUUUGUAUAUUAACAUUGGAUGUGGUGAAAAAAUAAUCAUAGGUGCAUGAAAUUGGAACCUUUUGACCCACCCUCUGCUUAUUUUUCCCUUUCCAUAGAAAGUAACUUGAGCAUUGAUCAGGUUAUAGCCGGGAGGCGUGAUGUUGGGAUCAUGUCUGCAGAACCUGUGGGAAACUAUGGAGUGAGGUACUAUAAUUCCAUUGAUCUUAAGAGAAGCCAUUUACAAGAAGUGUUCCUCAUUAUAUACUCAUGGCAGUGUUGUCUGUGAUUGAUGUAGAUUACUUUUCGAUGACUUGCAUAAAACAGGGAUCUUCACAUGGGAUUACUUUUAUUAUCUUGGUAGCAACAAGCUUUCGCUCAUGAGAAAUUACAUCGGAACUCUAAAGAAACACGGUCUUAGUCGUGACCCAAGAAUAAGGAAGUGAAUUUUGUAGCCUUUCAAGGUAUCAGUUUGAAUGCUGAUAAGGACACAAAUCUUGCAUGAUUUUGUAAAUCUACUUUGACAUUGUAUAGUUCAUAUGACGCAUAAAUGAACCACAUGUUCUUUCAAAUAAUUGAUUGAAUAAUUAAUUCAUUUGCAGAACUACUUUAUGCUGAUUGGUUUUGUUUUUCCUCAAUCCAGUUCAUUACAUGCAUCUUCAUCACUAAGGAUCUUGAUUAUUGAACUCUUUGAGUUGAAUUUGGAGUAUCUUUAGAUUGUUAUAUACUGGACAAUUUUGAAGGAGAAGAUCGACUGAGGCCCUUCAAAGAUAUGAUGUUCGUUCUUUUCUAUUAUCAUGAUGAAUUGUCCAAAUCAAUCUUCAAGAUGCUGAGUUUCAGAGUUUUUAAUCUGCUGGAGGUGAAGAUUUUUUUUUUUUUUAAUGUGGACGGUCUCAAUUAAUUUAUGGAAGUAUCCUUUGAGGAUCCAGGUAACCACUUCAUAUAAAAUGCACUUUGUAUAGUUUGAUUUUAAAUGUUGGGGAAUCCAAAUUCAUUAUUUUUGAAUUGUGAUUACACGUCAUAUUAAUGCCACAAUUUAACGCAAUUGAGAAGCAAGAUGAGUUUGAAUUCGUCUUGCGGGUCAAGCAUUUUCGAUGGAAGAAGGACAUAGACGAACAAGGUGGAAGCCGGCCUAUUCCCGGAUCUGGAUCAUUUCUGCGCAAAGGGAAAGGAUUUGGAUUUGCAGGAUGUUUUCCAGAGAUUCACCUUAGAUAAUAUAUGGAGGAUUGUGUUGUAUUACGAUCCCUGCAGCUUGGUUUUGACAGUAUGAUGUUUUUCUUUGAAAAAUUGAUGGCUUCUUUAGUUCUCUAAAUUUUAAUUCAAUUAGAUUUUCUUUUUCUUUCAUGAUGAUGUGAUAAUUAUUUAUUAUUUUUCAGGCUUUAAGGCACAAAUUUCUCUUUAUGAAUCUCCAUGUUAGUUUGUUUAGAGCAUCCGCAUUGGGGGUUCCUUGAUAGCCUACUUGAUAGUGUUUGUGUUAUUGAGUAGGUAGUGCUGCAUUGGGGUUCCUUGAUAGCCUACUUGAUAAUAUUAGUUUUGAUUUUAUGUUUUUCAUUUAAAUUUAAUUGCUCAAAUUUAAAUAACACAAUUUAUUUCAAAUUUAAAUUGCAUUAANNNNNNNNNNNNNNNNNNNNNNNNNNNNNNNNNNNNNNNNNNNNNNNNNNNNNNNNNNNNNNNNNNNNNNNNNNNNNNNNNNNNNNNNNNNNNNNNNNNNNNNNNNNNNNNNNNNNNNNNNNNNNNNNNNNNNNNNNNNNNNNNNNNNNNNNNNNNNNNNNNNNNNNNNNNNNNNNNNNNNNNNNNNNNGCUACUGACUUGUUUGUAAUAGCUCCCGAAGAUUUUUGUUGGGUAUCUUCGCCUAGCCGGAGGUUCACCGCUUGGUUCCCGACCGUCCUGCCGCCUUCACACGUUGCUCAAGCAACAACAAAUCUCUACACUCCGUGCUUCUUCCUUUUCCUUCUUCUUACACCUAAACCUGCAAAAUCAGAGGAAGUGCAAGUGAAAAAGAAAAAGAACAGAAAACAACAGGAAGAAGUAAAGAAAGACAGAGGUGGGAAAAAGGUGUCUCAGGGACACAGGUGGCUCAGAUUUUUCCCACGGUAGGCUCGGCUCUUCCGGCAGCUUAAAUGAUCAAGGCUCAGGGAAACAUGGAGAACUAAUCGGCACUCAAGUCUCGCUUUGCACAGCCACCAAAAUCCACAGUGUAUCACCAAACAGGAAUCCAAUUAUCAGGAAUCCGGCGAUACACGCAAUCAAUCGGAGCGAGGUUCACACACACAGUCACCAAUCAGGAAACCACGAACAGGAAUCCGGCGACACUUCAGGAAGGAAUAGCAGAGCCUUCCGGUCAAACAGUGUGUAAAACUAACUACAAUGAAAGCAAUGCAGCGGGGAUAAAAAGAGGUCGAGCAAAAGGCAGGUGGGAAAACGAGGAGACGGGGCGGUGGAAGGGCGGUGGAGAGGGGGAAGACAACGAGACGGGAGGCGGAAAUAAGGCGGAGGGGAGAGAGAGUCAGCGGCGCACGGGAGUGAUGAAAUGGGGGGGGCUGAUUUGGACUUAGGGUAUAAAGGGGAUGGGCUUGGGCUUGGGUUUGGGCUUGGGGGGGGUUAAUGAGAAUUGGGCCAACACUCCACAUUCCACCUUUGGCACAAUGAUCAUUAAGUCACCAGGGAAGAGCCAGCCUUUGAAUCGAGCUUUAUCAUCACAGCCAUUUUUACUAUCAUCCUAUCACAAAGACAAGACAAUAGAGGGUGAGAAAAAUAUUAUGCAUAUUUAACUCAAUCUCAACAACAGAGACCAACCCAAGGGAAAUCACCAUUUCUCAAACCCAAAGGGUUAUCAUUGAAGACACAACAGACACACACACACAUGCACUCAAGCAACAUCACACAAGACACACAGAGCAGACAACAAAAGACAAAGCAAAACCAGACCAUCACACACAAACAUAAACAGAAAACAAACACAGGAUAGCAGCAGGCAAACAGACCAGAACACAACAGGCAACUCAAAGACAACACUCAUCAUGCAAAAAGAAAAAACAAAGACAAAGAAGAGACAAGCAGCCUUAGAGGUUUGCACCCAAAAAGGGUAGGGGAUCCACCUCAAACGAAACAGUGGGUGUAGACACAAGCUCAUACUUGCUUUGAUCAACAACAUUCACAUUCUCCACCUCACUUGGAGCAGCAGAUUGUGAGGGUUCAAGCAAGCACGGGACUGACUCAGCACAUACAGCAUUGGAGUAGUUUAAGAACUGAAAAUCAUGAUCAUGCACCAUAUAGACUCCAUCUUCUUCAAACACAUUGUUAGCACGCUGUUCAGGUUCAAAGCUCUUGUUUUUCUUAGGCAGUCUACACUUAUUUGACAAAUGACCAGGCUUUCCACAAUUCCAACAAAGCUUUUUAGGCUUUUGAUCAAACCCCUUUUUAUCUUUGUUAACAACAUGACCUCACCAUGCAGAUGCUUUGACUUAGCAGCAAUUGUCUUAUGUUACGACUUAGCUCAUUAUAGUUCAGUUUACAACUGCUCAUGUAUUAGCAGCUUUAAGUCAUGAAGCAGUUUAUUGAAAAUUUCCAUAUUAGUGUCAACAUCUUUAGAAGAAUCCAUUUGGAAAGACAUAAACUGAUUUUGCAAAGACCAAGUAGAUACUUCAGAGGGUGCAGCAUAAAUGGAGUUUAGUUCAUCCCACAGUUCUUUAGCACAUGCAUAGUGUGACACUUUCCUUACAACAGAACUGCUUAAAUUCAACAGAAUUGUUGCCCUAGCAUUAUCAUUCAUGUCAUGCAAUUUUUCAUCAGUGACAGUUUUAUCAAUUUUAGUUAAUAAAGCCUUAUUAACCUUCUCCUUAACAAGAAUGCAUUCUAUUUUGGUUUUCCAGUCCUGAAAAUCAUCCCUGCCAUUGAAUGGCACCAAAAGCAUAUUGUUCAUGAUGAAUGCAGAUGCAGCACUUAAGCAACCACAAUUUUUCACAGAAAACCACAACAAUCACAGAGUAACAGGUCAGUCAGACCACAGAGCAAAGCAGAAACACCAGAGAGAGCAAAACAACAGCGGAAACAAUAAGGAACCAAAGCACACACAGCCUGUCUAGAUAGCCCCCUUUCUCCCUUGAUUUCCAGGGUACUCGCACGAGGAGACUCCUUUAAAGGAGAAUCCAGACGAACUGGACCAAAUGCAAGGGAGAACCUCACUUGGCUUUGAAUGCCAGGGGUUUAUCGAGAUAUAAGGCAACAAGCGGAAGCACACAAAGGUCAGGAUCGCAAGAUACCAAGACAAACAAAAACAUGACAAAAAAAAAAACAGCAGGCAACACCAAUCCUAAUGACUAGGAGUUUUAGGGUCUUAAGCCAAUUUACCAGAGCCGACUUCCCAGGUAGGGGAAGAGUCGGUCUUACCAAAACCUUGCUCGUCGGGAGCGAGUCGGCGCAGCCAAAGGGCGGCGGGGUGAGAGGGAUGUGUUCGGGGGGAGCCCCGGCAAGGUCCCCGUGGCUCUGAUACCACUGUUGGGUAUCUUCGCCUUUCCGGGAUUACUCCUCUUGUUUCCCGAACCUCCGGUCCGUCUCACUCGACACUCUAGUGCCAAACUUCUCUUCACGUUUCUUCCUCUUCACCUUUAGUUUCUUCUUCUACCUGCUAGUACCUGCAAAUCAACAGAAACACAGCAAGUUAAACUGUUCAAAGAAAGAAAACUAAAGAAGACAGAAAAGUAAGAAAGAGCAGAAAAGAUUGAAGUGGGAAAAUGUGUCCUCGGGACACUUUGGCUCAGAUUUUCCCACGGUAGGCUCGGCUCUUCCGGCAGCGUUAAUGAUCACGGCUCAAGGGAACAUGGAGAACUAAUCGGCACUCAAGUCUCGCUUUGCACAGCCACCAAAAUCCACAGUGUAUCACCAAACAGGAAUCCAACGAACAGGAAUCCGGCGACACACGCAAUCAAUCGGAGCGAGGUUCACACACACAGUCACCAAUCAGGAAACCACGAACAGGAAUCCGACGACACUUCAGGAAGGAAUAGCAGAGCCUUCCGGUCAAACAGUGUGUGAAACUACCACAAUACAAAGCAAUGCAGCGGGGAUAAAUAGAGGUCGAGCAAAAUGCAGGUGGGAACACAAGGAGACGCAGCCAUUAAGGGCGGGGGAAAAUCGAGAGAAAGGAGAUCAAAGGUCGGGCGGAGGAGGGAACUGGAAGGGAGCAGAUAGGAGAGAGAGAGAGCAGCGGCGCACGGGAGUGAUGAAAGUGGGGGGGGGCUGAUUUGANGUUUCCCACCAACCGUAAAUACUCACUUGAUUUAUUUCUGUCCAGUGGUGACCAUAAUCUUGCUAGUAAAGAAUGCAAACAGAUAUUGUAUGAAGCAUAUGAGUUAAACAAAAGGCUCAGGGAAACUUGAGUGAAGAAGAUCUGAAGAAUCUGAGGAGAAAAUAUGAGGAAGACAAGAGGCCGCUACCCAAAAGGCUAAAACAGACAACCAUCGACUAAUACUCAUAUUCCACAACAAUCAUUAUCUAGUUUUUACUUUCUAAAUUCUAGCAUUGAGAUUUGCAGCUGCCUUUAAAUAUUUAUUUUUGUAUUGCUGGAAGCUGUAUGAUGUAGUUUGCAUGAAACUUGUAAGUAUUUUGUACCUAUGUAUUCUUCAAGUAGAAGAGAUCAUAUAGUAUUUGUUAUUCCAUAUAGUGAUAUCUAUUUACUCUUUGCGGGAAAGAAAAUGCUUUUGCAUAAGUCAUUUAUAUUGCUUAUUUUCUCAGUUUCUAUUAUUGAGCCAUCUACAGACCAGCUUUUGGCAUAAUAUCUUC
Molecule: long non-coding RNA, 10553 nt
Filed under: Salvia miltiorrhiza (redroot sage)
Lineage: Eukaryota; Viridiplantae; Streptophyta; Magnoliopsida; Lamiales; Lamiaceae
Description: long non-coding RNA (SMIL_LNC005541)
Source: RNAcentral